AUACGUAGGGGGCAAGCGUUGUCCGGAAUUAUUGGGCGUAAAGCGCGCGCAGGCGGUUUCUUAAGUCUGGUGUGAAAGCCCGCAGCUCAACUGCGGAGGGCCACUGGAAACUGGGAAACUUGAGUGUAGGAGAGGAGAGCGGAAUUCCACGUGUAGCGGUGAAAUGCGUAGAGAUGUGGAGGAACACCUGUGGCGAAAGCGGCUCUCUGGCCUAUAACUGACGCUGAGGCGCGAAAGCGUGGGGAGCAAACAGGAUUAGAUACCCUGGUAGUCCACGCCGUAAACGAUGAGUGCUAGGUGUUGGGGACUCCAAUCCUCAGUGCCGCAGCUAACGCAAUAAGCACUCCGCCUGGGGAGUACGGCCGCAAGGCUGAA
Molecule: ribosomal RNA, 375 nt
Filed under: uncultured bacterium
Lineage: Bacteria
Description: bacterial SSU rRNA
Rfam family: Bacterial small subunit ribosomal RNA
Source: RNAcentral